AAAGACUUAGUCCUAACCUUACCGUUAAUUCUUGCUAGACAUAUACAUGCAAGUAUCUGCGCCCCAGUGUGAAUGCCCUCCACACCCUUAAAUAGAGUGUGAGGAGCGGGUAUCAGGCACACCCAUCGAUCGUAGCCCAAGACACCUUGCUUAGCCACACCCCCACGGGUACUCAGCAGUAAUUAACAUUAAGCAAUAAGUGCAAACUUGACUUAGUUAUAGCAGCAUCAAGGGUCGGUAAAUCUUGUGCCAGCCACCGCGGUCACACAAGAGACCCAAAUUAACAGUAGCACGGCGUAAAGAGUGGCAUCAUGUUAUCCUAGCAACUAAGAUCGAAAUGCAGCUGAGCUGUCAUAAGCCUAGGGUGCACUUAAGACCAACCUGAAGACGAUCUUAGCCCUCGGGAUCAAUUGAACCCCCACGAAAGCUAGGACACAAACUGGGAUUAGAUACCCCACUAUGCCUAGCCCUAAAUCCUGACACUUUUCUCACUGAAGUGUCCGCCUGAGAACUACGAGCACAAACGCUUAAAACUCUAAGGACUUGGCGGUGCCUUAAACCCACCUAGAGGAGCCUGUUCUGUAAUCGAUAACCCACGAUACACCCAACCACCCCUUGCCAGAGCAGCCUACAUACCGCCGUCGCCAGUUCACCUUCCCUGAAAGCACAACAGUGGACACAACAGCCCUAACUUCGCUAGCAAGACAGGUCAAGGUAUAGCUUAUGGGGUGGAAGAAAUGGGCUACAUUUUCUAGCAUAGAAAACUUCACGGAAGUGGGUGUGAAAUCACCCACAGAAGGCGGAUUUAGCAGUAAAGGGAGAUAAUAGAGCUUCCUUUAAGCCGGCUCUGGGGCACGUACAUACCGCCCGUCACCCUCCUCAUAAGCUAUCGACUCCCAUAACUAAUACUCCAAUUGGCCGAAGAUGAGGUAAGUCGUAACAAGGUAAGUGUACCGGAAGGUGCACUUAGCAUAC
RNAcentral lists this non-coding RNA (975 nucleotides) under Threskiornis aethiopicus (Sacred ibis). Its description in RNAcentral is "12S rRNA". It matches the Rfam family "Bacterial small subunit ribosomal RNA". Lineage: Eukaryota; Metazoa; Chordata; Aves; Pelecaniformes; Threskiornithidae. The record is from RNAcentral.